AGGACAACGUCAAAAAAAAAAAAAAAAAAAAAAAAAAAAAAAAAAAAAACAAGAAACAAAAUAUUAAAAAAACCGUUUUCGAUGCUAUCGUUUUGUAGAAACUUAUUACUGCGAGGACAAUAAUAAUAAUAAUAAUAAUAGUAUAUUUUGUCGUACGCAAGGUGAUUCCACAUUUCAGUGGCUACGACGAAUAUUUCGAAAAGUAUUGAUUUUUAUCACCGUGUAUAGUACCUGUGACAAAAGCGUCUAGAAAAACAAACCACGCCGUCUCUUUGUUUUUUUCGUACGGCUCAUUAGACGCACGUUAUUUUGCAUCCCCAGCGCCUCACUCCAAACUCGAUAAUUACACUUUGGAAUCGGCAAUUUAAAUAUCUGAUACCCAAGUCGAAAAACAAAAACGAUAGUUUCUCAUUUCUGAUUUAAUAUUAAUCUCUAGUCGG
Molecule: non-coding RNA, 440 nt
Organism: Cinara cedri
Lineage: Eukaryota; Metazoa; Arthropoda; Insecta; Hemiptera; Aphididae
Source: the annotation of a GenBank genome assembly